AGUAACGCGUGAGCAACCUGCCUUAAGGAGGGGGAUAACACAGGGAAACCUGUGCUAAUACCGCAUAAUAUAUAUUUACCGCAUGGUAGAUAUAUCAAAACUCCGGUGCCUUAAGAUGGGCUCGCGUCCAAUUAGCUAGUUGGAGGGGUAACGGCCCACCAAGGCAACGAUUGGUAGCCGGACUGAGAGGUUGAACGGCCACAUUGGAACUGAGAAACGGUCCAGACUCCUACGGGAGGCAGCAGUGGGGGAUAUUGCGCAAUGGGGGAAACCCUGACGCAGCAACGCCGCGUGAAGGAAGAAGGCCUUCGGGUUGUAAACUUUUGUCUUUUGGGAAGAAGAAUGACGGUACCAAAGGAGGAAGCCACGGCUAACUACGUGCCAGCAGCCGCGGUAAUACGUAGGUGGCGAGCGUUGUCCGGAAUUACUGGGUGUAAAGGGCGUGUAGGCGGGCAGAUAAGUCAGAUGUGAAAUACCGGGGCUCAACCCCGGGGCUGCAUUUGAAACUGUAUGUCUUGAGUGCCGGAGAGGAAAGCGGAAUUCCUAGUGUAGCGGUGAAAUGCGUAGAUAUUAGGAGGAACACCAGUGGCGAAGGCGGCUUUCUGGACGGUAACUGACGCUGAGGCGCGAAAGCGUGGGGAGCAAACAGGAUUAGAUACCCUGGUAGUCCACGCUGUAAACGAUGAAUACUAGGUGUAGGGGGGUAUCGACUCCCCCUGUGCCGCAGUCAACACAAUAAGUAUUCCACCUGGGGAGUACGACCGCAAGGUUGAAACUCAAAGGAAUUGACGGGGACCCGC
Molecule: ribosomal RNA, 800 nt
Filed under: uncultured Oscillospiraceae bacterium
Lineage: Bacteria; Bacillati; Bacillota; Clostridia; Eubacteriales; Oscillospiraceae
Description: bacterial SSU rRNA
Rfam family: Bacterial small subunit ribosomal RNA
Source: RNAcentral